RNAcentral lists this long non-coding RNA (1041 nucleotides) under Bemisia tabaci. RNAcentral's name for it is "lncRNA ENSSSA2NGG000303". Lineage: Eukaryota; Metazoa; Arthropoda; Insecta; Hemiptera; Aleyrodidae. The record is from RNAcentral.
UCGAGGGCAGCGUAGCUUGGUUAGUAGGAGUAACGGCGCGGUCGAGGAGGAGGAACAUGGUCACUUGGAUCCGAGCAAGUCUCCUGAUUUAUCUUUGUCAGUUUUUGGCACCUAUAAGUUCGGGCAGUGACGAGGCUAAAUUACACGAAGGAAAGACGAGAGAAAAAAGGGGCGCUGUGUAUCCUGUUGGAACCGUCUUGCAGGCAUGGAUUUAAUGGUCAAGAAUGUAUCCUCAAAAGCAUAUGCGAAAUAGCGGGACGGAAAUCCGAAAAGGACGAUCUGGGCCACAGCUUUCUUCAACUUCUUUUCAAGUGAGUUUCUCUGUAUUACGUACAUUUUUUUGAAAAUUCUACCCUCAAUUAGACGAAGCUAUGCAGAGUGUAUGAACGUUAAAAAAUAGAAUGGAAAACCCAAUCUCGAUUAACUUUUAUUGAAAUUUGUUUUAUGAAAAGUAAGAAAAGGAAGAAAGACCCAAAAGUAAAUGCCAUUCACACAUUUUCAAAUUAUACAGUGAAUGUCUACGGAAUUUCUGCACCGGUCAUUUCGCAGUGAACAAAUGUCCGUUAUUCAGAAAUGUCCUCUUAAUCUAUACCAACCCGUUGUUUUAAAACAAAGCAGUUUAAUUUGUUGUAGGAAGCUCAUUCAAUUUAUUGUUUUUUUUAUGUGAAAAAAAUGAGGAAAUACUUACUCAUAAGAAAGAAGAAGACAACGGAUUUACACGUUAAUAAGGUACAGGCAUACGUUGUGUAACACACCUUGUAUGCACAUCAGUUUAUGCAUGCUUUCUGUUUGUUUUUUUUGCAAGGCCAAGGUUUCUAGGAAAUUGCACAGACGCAAAAUGCACACUUAUCAAGGAGGCAAGAGUAGCGGGCAUCCUCCAUGUUGACUGCAACUUCAAGUACAAAAUGUGUCCAACAUCUUUUUUGGAUCUAAUUACAUCAUAAUCAAUUUGGUAAAUUAAAUUCGCACCCUUUUAAUUUCCACUUGUGUUAUUGAAUAUUGGAUCUCCAACCGUUCACGUAAAAUCGGCGGUGAAACUGG